AGCGCCAGGAGUUGAGUGAAAAGUACGGAUUUUUAUGGAAGCCCUACUAACUAAAUUAUAGAUUUAGAGUCUCACUUGACUUGACGAGGAUGGGGAGUAUCGAUUUAUCGGCGGAUGCCCCACGGUAUAACACUAUCGUUAGAAGUUGAGAAAACCAAAAAGUGAUUUUUGGGACAAAUCAAU
Molecule: non-coding RNA, 183 nt
Filed under: uncultured Clostridium sp.
Lineage: Bacteria; Bacillati; Bacillota; Clostridia; Eubacteriales; Clostridiaceae
Description: glmS glucosamine-6-phosphate activated ribozyme
Rfam family: glmS glucosamine-6-phosphate activated ribozyme aptamer
About the family: This entry contains a glucosamine-6-phosphate activated ribozyme that is found in the mRNA for GlmS. GlmS is an enzyme that uses fructose-6-phosphate and glutamine to generate glucosamine-6-phosphate.
Source: RNAcentral